Molecule: unclassified non-coding RNA, 756 nt
Filed under: Hevea brasiliensis (rubber tree)
Lineage: Eukaryota; Viridiplantae; Streptophyta; Magnoliopsida; Malpighiales; Euphorbiaceae
Source: RNAcentral
GUACCAUGUAGAUGAGAUACUGAGUAAUAGGUGCUAUGUGGAUGAGGUAUGGAUGUAAUACAGAUGGUUCCAUAGUUUAAUUUGUGGGGAUGUGAAUGUGGUUUAGGUGCUGGCUCAAGAGCCAUUUUUACUUUAUUUUGGUAUUUGCAGUCGGGUGUACCAUGUAUUAGUUUUUGCAAACUAUAAUAACUCCACCUCUUUGGUCCCGUCAAAGCUUGAUGACCUAGGAGCCAUUUAUGCAUGUGCUGCUUCAAUCGCUUUUCUUGAAUUAAAUAUUUCUUUUUUCUUUUAUUCAGCAUUGUUCUUCCUCUUGUAUACUUCUGGACUGCUGUAAUUUUUUGGCUUUCUCCACACACAGUUGCUAGACUUGGGAAGGUGCUAUGUUUGGCCAUCAAGCAGUGGGGAAUUGUCUUCUUCUUAAAUUCUGAGGCUUUGGGCUUUUUGCCCGAAAAUACCAUGCCCUUCUGAGGCAAGCAAGUGCUGAGCUAGCACUUCAUGAAUAGUGAUUUUAUUAUUUGAAGUAGGGGAUACCAUUUUAGAGUUUGCCUUUUGAUAGCUUUGCAAUUGUCGUCUCAGAUUCAGUAGAGGAAAAGUAUGGUCACAACUAUAUAUUUUAGCAGCGUGGUGAUUUUGCAUAUUGUUUGCAAAAUGUCUUGAGUAGUUGGCAUCAACUUUCAUUCCAUUCUUAAUCUAUUUCUUGUUUAUUCAUCUCAGCAUCUCUUUUUUGUUUUCCAGGCACUUGAUUUGAAGCCCAAC